RNAcentral lists this ribosomal RNA (422 nucleotides) under Adenomera andreae group sp. ABGD cluster 3. Its description in RNAcentral is "partial large subunit ribosomal RNA". It matches the Rfam family "Bacterial large subunit ribosomal RNA", at positions 1835 to 2457 of the family's 2925-position model. Lineage: Eukaryota; Metazoa; Chordata; Amphibia; Anura; Leptodactylidae. The record is from RNAcentral.
UUUGCUUAAAAUAAAAGGUCCAGCCUGCCCAGUGACACUGUUCAACGGCCGCGGUAUCCUAACCGUGCGAAGGUAGCGUAAUCACUUGUUCUUUAAAUGAGGACUAGUAUGAAAGGCACCACGAGAGUCAUACUGUCUCCUCUUUCCAAUCAGUUAAACUAAUCUCCCCGUGAAGAAGCGGGGAUAACUUUAUAAGACGAGAAGACCCUAUGGAGCUUUAAACGAAUAACACUUGCCCCCCCCUCCUCUCAAUUUCAGAAAAAUCUAUUACCUUGGCAUCAUACUUAUAAGUUUUUGAUUGGGGUGAUCACGGAACAAAAAAUAACCUCCGCAAUGAAAGACUCUCCACAACUAAGUCAAGAACCACAACUCUACACAUCAACAAAUUGACACCAAUUGACCCAAUUUAUUGAUCAAUGAAC